ACUCCAACAAGUGAAGCUUGCUGUCAAGUUUCAUUAGUAAGUACUCACAUGUUGGAAUCU
Molecule: microRNA precursor, 60 nt
Filed under: Scyliorhinus torazame (cloudy catshark)
Lineage: Eukaryota; Metazoa; Chordata; Chondrichthyes; Carcharhiniformes; Scyliorhinidae
Description: Sto-Mir-430-P2_pre stem-loop
Source: RNAcentral